CNGUCGAGCGGUAACAUUUCUAGCUUGCUAGAAGAUGACGAGCGGCGGACGGGUGAGUAACGCGUAGGAAUCUGCCUAGUAGAGGGGGACAACAUGUGGAAACGCAUGCUAAUACCGCAUACGCCCUUAGGGGGAAAGGAGGGGACUUUUCGGAGCCUUCCGCUAUUAGAUGAGCCUGCGUAAGAUUAGCUAGUUGGUGGGGUAAAGGCUCACCAAGGCGACGAUCUUUAACUGGUCUGAGAGGAUGACCAGUCACACUGGGACUGAGACACGGCCCAGACUCCUACGGGAGGCAGCAGUGGGGAAUAUUGGACAAUGGGCGAAAGCCUGAUCCAGCCAUGCCGCGUGUGUGAAGAAGGCCUUAGGGUUGUAAAGCACUUUCAGGAGUGAGGAAGGGUGCUUGGUUAAUACCCAAGUAUUUUGACGUUAGCUCCAGAAGAAGCACCGGCUAACUCUGUGCCAGCAGCCGCGGUAAUACAGAGGGUGCAAGCGUUAAUCGGAAUUACUGGGCGUAAAGCGCGCGUAGGUGGUUUGUUAAGUCUGAUGUGAAAUCCCAGGGCUCAACCUUGGAAUGGCACCGGAUACUGGCAGGCUAGAGUACGGUAGAGGGGUGUGGAAUUUCCUGUGUAGCGGUGAAAUGCGUAGAUAUAGGAANGGAACAUCAGUGGCGAANNNGACACCCUGGACUGAUACUGACACUGNNNUGCGAAAGCGUGGGGAGCAAACNGNAUUAGAUACCC
RNAcentral lists this ribosomal RNA (740 nucleotides) under Marinomonas sp. SC31. Its description in RNAcentral is "bacterial SSU rRNA". It matches the Rfam family "Bacterial small subunit ribosomal RNA", at positions 59 to 787 of the family's 1533-position model. The record is from RNAcentral. Lineage: Bacteria; Pseudomonadati; Pseudomonadota; Gammaproteobacteria; Oceanospirillales; Oceanospirillaceae.